This 74-nucleotide transfer RNA is filed under the name Flavobacteriales bacterium. Its description in RNAcentral is "tRNA-Asp". It matches the Rfam family "tRNA". From Rfam's summary of the family: Transfer RNA (tRNA) molecules are approximately 80 nucleotides in length. Their secondary structure includes four short double-helical elements and three loops (D, anti-codon, and T loops). Lineage: Bacteria; Pseudomonadati; Bacteroidota; Flavobacteriia; Flavobacteriales. The record is from RNAcentral.
GGACUGGUAGUUCAGCUGGUUAGAAUGCCGCCCUGUCACGGCGGAGGUCGCGGGUUCGAGUCCCGUCCGGUCCG